AGGACGAACGCUGGCGGCGUGCUUAACACAUGCAAGUCGAGCGGUAAGGCCUUUCGGGGUACACGAGCGGCGAACGGGUGAGUAACACGUGGGUGGUCUGCCCUGCACUCUGGGAUAAGCCUGGGAAACUGGGUCUAAUACCGGAUAUGACCUGCUCUCGCAUGGGGGUGGGGUGGAAAGAUUUAUCGGUGCAGGAUGGGGCCCGCGGCCUAUCAGCUUGUUGGUGGGGGUAAUGGCCUACCAAGGCGACGACGGGUAGCCGACCUGAGAGGGUGACCGGCCACACUGGGACGUGAGACACGGCCCAGACUCCUACGGGAGGCAGCAGUGGGGAAUAUUGCACAAU
Molecule: ribosomal RNA, 346 nt
Filed under: uncultured soil bacterium
Lineage: Bacteria
Description: bacterial SSU rRNA
Rfam family: Bacterial small subunit ribosomal RNA
Source: RNAcentral